Molecule: long non-coding RNA, 649 nt
Organism: Zingiber officinale
Lineage: Eukaryota; Viridiplantae; Streptophyta; Magnoliopsida; Zingiberales; Zingiberaceae
Exons: 5
Source: RefSeq, a predicted model, not a curated record
UUACUGCUCCUCUCGCCAUCGACGCUCCUCUGCCAGUCGCCGCUGCUGCCAAAGGUUGUGGAUUGGAAGUUUUGAUAGUCACCUUGCUCCUUUCUACAGAAUCAAAUAGGUGUUUCAGCCCAGGGAUUGUCAGGAAGAACAUGACCUUCCACAGGUUUAAUGGAAGAUCCAUCAGCAUGUGCAUCUUUUAUAUCAACAAUACUUAUGGGCUUGUCUGUGUGUUUGCUCAUAUUGGAUUCCUGUAAGAUCCUUUCCUCAUGAACAGCAGGGUUAUCAGACACAGACUUUGAAGAUUGGUAACCUCGGAAAGGCUGUGAAGGUGGAUUAUUGAAACCUACAUCAAAUGCAUCAGCUUCAUCAGCAAUGCUACUAGGUUCCAAACCGCCACGACAAUAGUAGUCAUCUUCAUUUAGUAUGGAAGAGGUAUAUGGUCAUCAAAGAGGUCUCAUAACAGCUUCGAGAAGAAUGGGAAGCAUUAGCUAAUUGCUAUGAAGAUCACAUGAGCAGUGCAUGGAUAUCAAAUAAUUUAUUAAGGUCAUUUCUUUUCUUUGUUACUCACUCACCAAUUUUGUCGAAGUAGCAAAUUAGAAAUGUAAAAUGUAUCACAAAAUGUUUUGGAAUUCUCUUACAAAGUAUUAGCUCAACUGAU